GCUUACGGCCAUACCAGCCUGAAAGCGCCCGAUCUCGUCAGAUCUCGGAAGCUACGCAAGGUCGGGCCUGGUUAGUACUUGGAUGGGAGACUUCCUGGGAAUACCAGGUGCUGUAAGCA
RNAcentral lists this ribosomal RNA (119 nucleotides) under Hucho hucho (huchen). The record is from RNAcentral. Lineage: Eukaryota; Metazoa; Chordata; Actinopteri; Salmoniformes; Salmonidae.